This 253-nucleotide ribosomal RNA is filed under the name uncultured bacterium. RNAcentral's name for it is "partial 16S ribosomal RNA". It matches the Rfam family "Bacterial small subunit ribosomal RNA", at positions 524 to 776 of the family's 1533-position model. The record is from RNAcentral.
UACAGAGGGGGCAAGCGUUAUUCGGAAUUAUUGGGCGUAAAGGGCGCGUAGGCGGCUUGGCAAGUGGAUGGUGAAAUCCCUCGGCUUAACCGAGGAACUGCCGUCCAAACUGCUUUGCUUGAGGCCGGGAGAGGUGAGUGGAAUUCCCAGUGUAGCGGUGAAAUGCGUAGAUAUUGGGAGGAACACCAGUGGCGAAGGCGGCUCACUGGACCGGUACUGACGCUGAUGUGCGAAAGCUAGGGGAGCAAACAGG